GACACAUACCUCGAGGCAGUCACAACAUUCUCAUCACUCUACACAUGCUCCAGGCACUGACCCACCUACAGAUCACUUUGUUGCUGCAGAGGAGGAGCUACGAGCUGAUCAGCUCCAUAUCACAGAUGAGGGCCAGUUGGAUUCAUUUGAGGAGGAGAUAUGAGCUGAUCAGGUACAUAUAAUAGAUGAGGGUUUGGACUCAUUUGAGGAUCAGCUGAGAGAUUUGAGCCAUACUAGAUUUAUGGACAUGCUACUACAGUCAGACACUUCAUCCACGAUGCCCACUCAUCUAGUUAGCCCCUUGCACUCCUCAGUGAUACGUACAGCUAGAGAGAGAUAUGCAGGCAUGAGUGAUGUUGUUGAUAUGAUCACGAGAUAGGAUCAGACUAUACAACCUACUCCAGGUGAUACACAGUUAGCUCAUGUCACUCCUUCCUUGAGCUCUGAGCAUGUGCGUAGGAGAGAUUCUUUAGAUGCUGUUAGUGUACAGGACUCCCCCUCAGAUGGUCGCUCAGUUCGUAGCCGACAUGAUCCCUGUUGAUUUGCUCCAAACUUUAUAGCUCAUUUACAUUUAUCUUUUUAUAUACUUUCAUAUUAUAUAUAUUC
Molecule: long non-coding RNA, 606 nt
Organism: Cryptomeria japonica (Japanese cedar)
Lineage: Eukaryota; Viridiplantae; Streptophyta; Pinopsida; Cupressales; Cupressaceae
Exons: 3
Source: RefSeq, a predicted model, not a curated record